Molecule: unclassified non-coding RNA, 213 nt
Filed under: Hevea brasiliensis (rubber tree)
Lineage: Eukaryota; Viridiplantae; Streptophyta; Magnoliopsida; Malpighiales; Euphorbiaceae
Source: RNAcentral
UCAACCAACCAUGGUAAGCUUGAUCGCUAUUAAUUCCUUUUUGAAACUCAUUUGUUUGUCAUCACUGCCAUUUUGUGUCUACUCAUGUAAUGGAAGGGACUUUGCAGAGUCAAUCAAGCCUGGGAAGUCUAAUCUAAUUUUAAUGUCCACAUGUAAGCUCAAAGAAACAUUUGAUCUUAUUUUUAUUAAAAUUUGGUAAUUGAACAGGGUUGA